CAUCCGCCGCCUGACAGACCUGGCUCCUCGUGGAGAAUUUUCUACCUGUCUGUGCACCAGGCUGGGAGCUGACGGACAGGCAUUUCUCGCUCUCUGUGUGUCUCUCUCACACACACCAAACCGAUCAGAUGCUUCAGGACCGGCCACUUUGCAAGGGGAACAACACGGGAGGGUUUGUAUUACUCCAGCACCUAUGCGUUGCAGCCUCCCUCCCUGCCUUCCCAACCAGGGGCAGGACCUGACCCGGAUUAGCACCGACUUUAACUCCAAGUUGGAAAUAACGCGGUACCUGACAGGGCUGGCCGGGGAGGAACUGCUGACCUGUCGAAAGAAAUAUAUCUGUGUCUCCGAGAAUGUCAGGACAGAUGGUGCCAGUUCGCACCGUGGCGAGUUUCCUCAAUUGCAUACAUUGAGUGGAGUUGAUGAUUGUUUUGUUUUUGCAGCAGGGAAGUAGGCGAUGCCAUCAGACAUCAUGUGGCACAGACUCUCUGUGAAAUGUCCCUUCCUAUAAAGGUGCGAGUUCAGCGGAGGUUAGGGGAGACGUGAACUCGGCGGGCUGGGGGCAGUGGCAGCUCUCCCAUCUGCUUCUGCCUCGUCCUGAACCACGCACCUACGUGACCUGCUGCAAAAGCGC
This 634-nucleotide long non-coding RNA is filed under the name Struthio camelus australis. Its description in RNAcentral is "lncRNA (ENSSCUG00000006911.1)". Lineage: Eukaryota; Metazoa; Chordata; Aves; Struthioniformes; Struthionidae. The record is from RNAcentral.